CUUUUACAGUUGCUGAUGAGGACUGAGGACUGAACUGAGGAAGACUGAGGGCUGAGGAAGACAGAGGAUUGAGGACAACCAAGUUGCUGACGGCGCGGAGAGCCGAUGGACUGGAGAGCGACGACCGACGAUUGCGUGGAGAGCGACGACCGACGCCGACGAUUGUGUGGAGGCCGCGAAGAGGCUCUUCUUGCAUGCAAGACAUCAAAAAGCGAAAAAAAUGUCAACAACACAAAGAAGCAAGUACUGGGAGAGAGGAUUUGGGUUAGAAGCUAGAGAAAUUGAAAAAACCUUGGGAGAAAACUACAAAUCCACCAGUGACAGAGAGACUAGAGAGCGACAGUGAGGUGAGGAGGCAGAGGCA
This 364-nucleotide long non-coding RNA is filed under the name Manihot esculenta (cassava). RNAcentral's name for it is "long non-coding RNA (MESC_LNC001770)". Lineage: Eukaryota; Viridiplantae; Streptophyta; Magnoliopsida; Malpighiales; Euphorbiaceae. The record is from RNAcentral.